This is a long non-coding RNA of Nanorana parkeri, 433 nucleotides long. RefSeq lists it as uncharacterized. The record is from RefSeq and is a predicted model, not a curated record. Lineage: Eukaryota; Metazoa; Chordata; Amphibia; Anura; Dicroglossidae. The transcript is spliced from 3 exons.
UCUUCAAUUGAUAUUAAAUGCGAGGACACAUAUGUACUUAAUGGACACAUAAGUGUGAAAUGUGACAAUGGUCAAUGGGAUGAGCUUCCACAAUGCUUUGAGCCUUGUACAAUAUCUACCAGAAGUUUGGAUACAAAUCACAUUGAGAUGAAGCCAUCAGAGAAUCCUCCAGAGAUACUUGAACAUGGCACAGAAGUAAAUGUAAAAUGCAAGGCGAAUUUUAGAUGCCCAGGGUCUUUAACAGCUUUGUGUUAUGAUGGAAUAAUAAAAUAUCCAAGAUGUUUCUCUGGUAGUAUCUGUCGCAUAAACCAACAGAAUCUUGAUGAUAACUUCUUAGAUCUGGAUGAAAGGCAUGAAUAUGAGGUAUUUUAUGAAGGAGGAGAAACUAUCAGCUUUAAAUGUAAACCUGGAUAUAAUAACAGGACUGGACUGA